GGGCGUGUGCCCGAGCGGCCAAAGGGGACGGGCUGUAAACCCGUUGGCUUAACGCCUACGCUGGUUCGAAUCCAGCCGCGCCCA
This 84-nucleotide transfer RNA is filed under the name Phycisphaerales bacterium. RNAcentral describes it as "tRNA-Tyr". It matches the Rfam family "tRNA". Rfam says of the family: Transfer RNA (tRNA) molecules are approximately 80 nucleotides in length. Lineage: Bacteria; Pseudomonadati; Planctomycetota; Phycisphaerae; Phycisphaerales. The record is from RNAcentral.